This 497-nucleotide ribosomal RNA is filed under the name uncultured bacterium. RNAcentral's name for it is "partial 16S ribosomal RNA". It matches the Rfam family "Bacterial small subunit ribosomal RNA", at positions 28 to 507 of the family's 1533-position model. The record is from RNAcentral.
GAUGAACGCUGGCGGCGUGCCUAAUACAUGCAAGUCGAGCGAACGGACGAGAAGCUUGCUUCUCUGAUGUUAGCGGCGGACGGGUGAGUAACACGUGGAUAACCUACCUAUAAGACUGGGAUAACUUCGGGAAACCGGAGCUAAUACCGGAUAAUAUUUUGAACCGCAUGGUUCAAAAGUGAAAGACGGUCUUGCUGUCACUUAUAGAUGGAUCCGCGCUGCAUUAGCUAGUUGGUAAGGUAACGGCUUACCAAGGCAACGAUGCAUAGCCGACCUGAGAGGGUGAUCGGCCACACUGGAACUGAGACACGGUCCAGACUCCUACGGGAGGCAGCAGUAGGGGAUCUUCCGCAAUGGGCGAUAGCCUGACGGAGCAACGCCGCGUGAGUGAUGAAGGUCUUCGGAUCGUAAAACUCUGUUAUUAGGGAAGAACAUAUGUGUAAGUAACUGUGCACAUCUUGACGGUACCUAAUCAGAAAGCCACGGCUAACUACGUG